GCAGGCAGCAUAGACAGCCCAUAUCAGAUUUUGCCUGGAAGAUUUUCACCCUGAACCAGGCAGAACAACUGAAAAAUCGUAGACAAUGAUAAUUGGCAGAGAUUUGCUGUUUCCUUGCAGUGGUUGCAGGAAGUUUCAUUCUCUUCUGAAAUCUAUGGAAUGCAACUUCCCAGCACUGAAUGUCCCCUUCACAAAAAGAAAGGGGGAUCAAGGCACCAUGAUGAGACAGACAUCUCUGCAGAGAGAUGGCCUCAGCAUCUUGGCUGUUUACAUUAAUUUGAUGGAUUCUGCUUAAGAAACUGUUCAUUAUGGCCUGGGCCAUAGAAACAAAACAGGGCUUGAAACACACCAUGGAAGACCAUGCUUCUACCAAUUGCUCUCUGUUAAAUAGUGUUGCCAGUUUUCUCCUGACAAUAGUAAACACAUUUGACAAAGAAGUAACAGGACAGAUCAUGCAGCAUCUGUAUAUUGGUGACAGUGCAUUGAUGAUGGUAUUUUCAUCUUUG
Molecule: non-coding RNA, 506 nt
Organism: Cyanistes caeruleus (blue tit)
Lineage: Eukaryota; Metazoa; Chordata; Aves; Passeriformes; Paridae
Source: RefSeq, a predicted model, not a curated record